RNAcentral lists this transfer RNA (66 nucleotides) under Mogannia minuta. RNAcentral's name for it is "tRNA-Asn". The record is from RNAcentral. Lineage: Eukaryota; Metazoa; Arthropoda; Insecta; Hemiptera; Cicadidae.
UUAAUUGAAGCCAAGAUUGAGGCAUCUUAAUGUUAAUAAGAUAAUUGAAUAUAUUUUCCAAUUAAU